GCCGAAGUGGCGAAAUUGGUAGACGCACUGGAUUCAAAAUCCAGCGCCGUUUAACGGCAUGUCGGUUCAAGUCCGACCUUCGGCACCA
Molecule: transfer RNA, 88 nt
Filed under: Candidatus Cloacimonadota bacterium
Lineage: Bacteria; Pseudomonadati; Candidatus Cloacimonadota
Description: Candidatus Cloacimonetes bacterium (marine metagenome) tRNA-Leu
Rfam family: tRNA
About the family: Transfer RNA (tRNA) molecules are approximately 80 nucleotides in length. Their secondary structure includes four short double-helical elements and three loops (D, anti-codon, and T loops). Further hydrogen bonds mediate the characteristic L-shaped molecular structure. tRNAs have two regions of fundamental functional importance: the anti-codon, which is responsible for specific mRNA codon recognition, and the 3' end, to which the tRNAs corresponding amino acid is attached (by aminoacyl-tRNA synthetases). tRNAs cope with the degeneracy of the genetic code in two manners: having more than one tRNA (with a specific anti-codon) for a particular amino acid; and 'wobble' base-pairing, i.e. permitting non-standard base-pairing at the 3rd anti-codon position.
Source: RNAcentral